GAUGAACGCUAGCGGCAGGCUUAAUACAUGCAAGUUGAGGGGCAGCAUGAUAUACGCGAGUAUAUUGAUGGCGACCGGCGGACGGGUGAGUAAUAGGUAGGAGACCUACCUCAUACAGGGGGAUAGCAUAGAGAAAUCUGUGGUAAUACCCCAUGAGGUUAUAUGAAUAGAGGCAUAUAAUCAAAGCAUAAGCGAUUAUGCGGUAUGAGAGGGGCCUACUGACCAUUAGCUAGUUGGUGAGGUAAGGGCUCACCAAGGCGAAGAUGGUUAGGGGUUUUGAGAGAGAGACCCCCCACAUUGGAACUGAGAGACGGUCCAGACUCCUACGGGAGGCAGCAGUAGGGAAUAUUGGGCAAUGGGCGAAAGCCUGACCCAGCCAUGCCGCGUGAAGGAAGACGGCCUUAUGGGUUGUAAACUUCUUUACUACGCGAAUAGAGGUUAGUACGAGAUACUAAUAGGAAGGUAGUGUAGUAAAAAGCCCGGCUAACUCCGUGCC
Molecule: ribosomal RNA, 496 nt
Filed under: uncultured bacterium
Lineage: Bacteria
Description: bacterial SSU rRNA
Rfam family: Bacterial small subunit ribosomal RNA
Source: RNAcentral